UACGGAAGGCAGCAGUGGGGAAUAUUGCACAAUGGGCGCAAGCCUGAUGCAGCCAUGCCGCGUGUAUGAAGAAGGCCUUCGGGUUGUAAAGUACUUUCAGUCGUGAGGAAGGUGUUAAGGUUAAUAACCUUAGCAAUUGACGUUAGCGACAGAAGAAGCACCGGCUAACUCCGUGCCAGCAGCCGCGGUAAUACGGAGGGUGCGAGCGUUAAUCGGAAUUACUGGGCGUAAAGGGCACGCAGGCGGUUAAUUAAGUUGGAUGUGAAAUCCCCGGGCUUAACCUGGGAAUGGCAUUCAAGACUGGUUAGCUAGAGUCUUGUAGAGGGGGUAGAAUUCCGAUGUGUAGCGGUGAAAUGCGUAGAGAUGUGGAGGAAUACCGGUGGCGAAGGCGGCCCCUGGCAAAGGACUGACGCUCAUGUGCGAAAGCGUGGGGAGCAAACAGGGAUUAGAUACC
This 454-nucleotide ribosomal RNA is filed under the name uncultured bacterium. Its description in RNAcentral is "bacterial SSU rRNA". It matches the Rfam family "Bacterial small subunit ribosomal RNA", at positions 340 to 786 of the family's 1533-position model. The record is from RNAcentral.